Molecule: ribosomal RNA, 509 nt
Filed under: uncultured bacterium
Lineage: Bacteria
Description: bacterial SSU rRNA
Rfam family: Archaeal small subunit ribosomal RNA
Source: RNAcentral
GUGCCAGCAGCCGCGGUAAUACCGGUGGCUCGAGUGGUGGCCGCUAUUAUUGGGUCUAAAGGGUUCCGAGCCGGCCUGAUAAGUUACCUGGAAAUCCGGUGCUUAACCCAUCGGGGCGGCCAGGUAAUACUAUCAGGCUCGGGACUAGGAGAGACCAGAGGUACUCAUGAGGUAGGAGUGAAAUCCUGUAAUCUUAUGAGGACCACCAGUGGUGAAGACGUCUGGUUAGAAUAGGUCCGACGGUGAGGGACGAAGGCUGGGGGCGCAAACCGGAUUAGAUACCCGGGUAGUCCCAGCAGUAAACGAUGCCAGCUAUGUGUUGCUGGAACCAUGGGUUCCAGCAGUGCCGAAGGGAAGCCGUGAAGCUGGCCACCUGGGAAGUACGGUCGCAAGGCUGAAACUUAAAGGAAUUGGCGGGGGAGUACCACAACCGGUGGAGCCUGCGGUUUAAUUGGAUACAACGCCGGGAAUCUUACCGGAGGGGACAGCAGUAUGAAGGCCAGGCUAAA